This 2764-nucleotide long non-coding RNA is filed under the name Nicotiana tabacum (common tobacco). RNAcentral describes it as "long non-coding RNA (NTAB_LNC017572)". Lineage: Eukaryota; Viridiplantae; Streptophyta; Magnoliopsida; Solanales; Solanaceae. The record is from RNAcentral.
UUUAGAAUCGCAAAAUCCCGUUACUAUUUUCUAAGAAGUCUCAUAGUAUAACUUCGGAUAAAUUUUUUUGCUUAGGGCUCGUUACUUGGAGAUUGGAUGUAAGCAUCUCCACUUUAUUUAUUAUUAAGCCACAAAACUCUUUAGAUGUGUCAUCUUGCAACAUGAAGUAAGAUUCACAAUUAGCUUUUGAAUCCUUUUUCCCUUGCUGCCACGUUAGCCACCUUAAGCUUAUCCAUAAUCUUAAUUAAUUAUUCAUCAAUCUCUUGAUUAACUUGUUAAUUUUUUAUUAAUCAAUAAUUAACCAAUUACUCACAUAAUUAAAAAAAUUCUCAAAUUACUUAAAAUACUACUCACUUUUAACAUACCUUAUACACCUCACAAUCAUGGUCAUGUGAUACCUUAUAUAGCACAAGUCCAUAAAUAUCGGGUAUUAUAGCUUAAACCGUAUUUUAUCCUAAAAUAUCAAACUUCGACGAAACUUACCUUCACGAAUAUACUUAUCAUUGUUUGAAAUAACAUAAUACUUAUAAUCUUUAAAAAAUCUCAUUCUCGAGCUUACGUCGAUUAAAAUUACAACGAAACUUUAACGUACGAAAAUAUGGGAUGUAACAUCUCAUUUCCGAGCUCAUAUCAAUUUACUUACGGCGUACUUUUACGUAUGAAAACAUAGGUGUAGCAUAGCUAUAAAUAAUGGGGUUAAUAACCAUUGUAGACACAUGAAACAUUCUGCACAUAAAAGCAGUAAUUUAUUUUCUUACUACGAUGAAUUCAAGCAUUUGAAUUUUUUCUUGUUCUUGUUAUCGAAAAGGUUAAGUCCUUAACCAAGCUUGUUUUUCAUUUAACUUUAUUCGUUAAUCUAUUUUUUGUUAUUUUUUAUAAAUUCAAUUGUACUAAUAUUAAAGUACUUAAAACUUCAAAUAUUUUUAUUACGUAUAAAAACUACUAUGCAUCCAGUAUGAUCAUUGUCACAGAGGUGGAGCCAAGAUUUGAAACUUAUGAGUUUGGGAUUCUAAAUCUUUUAAGUUAGUGUAUAUUAAAUUAUUUUUUCAUAUUCAAUAAAUUUCAUAAAAUAAACAGUACAUGAUUUGGAUCAAAACUAUUGGAUUCGACGGAAUCCAUAGCUUCUACUCUCCCUCUGCUCCUACUUAUCGACGGGGAGAUAAGACUCUUUAUUAGCAAAAAAUAACAAUAAUAACAAGGAAAAUACAUAGUUUACUCAUCGACCUUGCAACAAAAUUCAUGUUACACACCGCUAGAGAACGAAAAAUAUUUUACACAUUCAACCUUUCAAAAGUGUGUCUAAGACACCAUUUUUGUGUUUGACCAAUUUUUCAAAAUAACGUAAAAGUCACGCCCUAAUAGAGUCGUAAAAUGUGUCAUUGACUUUAAAAAGGAAAAAAAAAAUAUUAAAAAUUACUAUUAAAACUCGUCUUUUUCAUCUUCUUAUUUUCUAUCUUAAGCACCAUUGUUGCUACCACCUAGUUGUUCGUGAGAAAGUUUUCAACAACACCAAAAUUUAACCACACUAUCUAAAUAGCUAGCUGAAAAUAAUCGAGCAACAAAUUGAGUUCAACAACCCAAUAAUCAACAAGACCCAAUUGAAUUUUCAAGUUUUUUUUUAUACUACAACAAUGGUGGAUUCUAGAUUUUUCUCACCAAACCUUUAAUACUAUUGUUAAAGCUUUUAAAUCUAUCACAAAUAAAUGAUUUUCAAAAUAUUUGGAUAAUAAACCAACAAAAACCGCUCAAUUAUAGAUCUAAAAUUUUAUGUUCUUUCAAAAAUUCUAUUCGGGGAAGAAGAUGAGGGGGAGGGUGGUAUGCGGAAGAAGACCAGAGGGGGAGGGAACACAAAAAAUGAGAUAUUUUACGUGUUUCACGUGUUUUUUGUGUGUGUAAACACGCAACUGCUAUCUGGUAAAAAAAAUAGUUUGUCUUAGAUACACUUUUAAAAGGUUGAGUGUGUAAAAGAUGUCUCGUGUAGUAGAGAUGUGUAACAGGGAUUUUGCGAUAAGGUUGAUGGGUAAAUUAUGUAUUUUGCCUAAUAACAAAAAUAACAGUAACAAUCGAUUAAUUUUGUCCCCUAUUUCCAGGAGCUGAAGGGCUCUCAUGUUUUGGAACAUCAAUAUCAAUUGCAGCUAAACUCUGUCUCAGAUCUCUUGCUGCCACUGUGGAACCAAAACGAAAGAAUGGUUGUUCAUUAAAUAUAUUCUUUUAGUUACAUUACAAUUUCAUAGAAGAAAUAACUUAUUAGAUCAUUUUAUUCGAUUAUAGAUUACUUUUGUAUUAAAGUUGCAGUUUACUGGUCGCAAUUUCAUGGAAUAUCAUUUAAGUGGGUGUUUGGACAUAAGAAUUCCAAAAUUCUAAAAAAGUAAUUUUUUUUCAAGUGAAAAAUGAUAUUUGAAAAUUAGAGUUAUCUUUGGACAUGAAUAUAAUUUUGGGUUGUUUUUGAAUUUUUGUGAGUGAUCUAAAUGAAUUUUGAAAAAUAGUUUUUUGGAGUUUUUCAAAUUUUUGAAAAAUUCUAAAAUUCAUCUUCAAGAGAAAAUUAAAAAUUCAGCCAAAUACUGAUUUCGAAAAAAAGUAAAAAAUAAUAUAACUCACUCGUCGUGUCCACUCUUGUGGGUGCUACAGGGAAGAGCAAUCCAGCCAAAAGUAAUAGGACAUAAAGAAAGUAAGCGUAGCCUUGUAGAACAUUGUCUCAAGCACAAAAUAGAAAUUUAUUUUGAAAGAAAUCGUAGCUUUUGUCAAUUUAUUUAUAGGAAAAAAG